GUGGGGAAUCUUAGACAAUGGGCGCAAGCCUGAUCUAGCCAUGCCGCGUGAGUGAUGAAGGCCCUAGGGUUGUAAAGCUCUUUCAGCUGGGAAGAUAAUGACGGUACCAGCAGAAGAAGCCCCGGCUAACUCCGUGCCAGCAGCCGCGGUAAUACGGAGGGGGCUAGCGUUGUUCGGAAUUACUGGGCGUAAAGCGCGCGUAGGCGGACUGAAAAGUUGGGGGUGAAAUCCCGGGGCUCAACCUCGGAACUGCCUUCAAAAUUCCUGGUCUGGAGUUCGAGAGAGGUAAGUGGAAUUCAGAGUGUAGAGGUGAAAUUCGUAGAUAUUCGGAGGAACACCAGUGGCGAAGGCGGCUCACUGGCUCGAUACUGACGCUGAGGUGCGAAAGCGUGGGGAGCAAACAGGAUUAGAUACCCGGGUUAGUCC
This 426-nucleotide ribosomal RNA is filed under the name uncultured bacterium. Its description in RNAcentral is "partial 16S ribosomal RNA". It matches the Rfam family "Bacterial small subunit ribosomal RNA", at positions 354 to 796 of the family's 1533-position model. The record is from RNAcentral.